AGCUAGUUGACGAGUCCCAAAUGAGACGAAACACGUGUUCUUGAU
Molecule: non-coding RNA, 45 nt
Organism: Schistosoma curassoni
Lineage: Eukaryota; Metazoa; Platyhelminthes; Trematoda; Strigeidida; Schistosomatidae
Source: Rfam